UAGCCUAGGCAUUAAAGCACCCAUUUCGGCAAUGGAUAAAAUACUCUGGAAAUCUAAUUGCUUGGGCCCAAAAGUAUCUGUAUUGAGCAUUCCAAACUAAAGCUCUUGGAAAGGGGUUAGAUAAAUGGCGUUUCCACCAGAAAUGCUGGCUCUCAGCCUCAGUCUGUCGCAAUGCUGGAGCGUUUGAGUAGACUCAGUGACUGAAGAUACUUCUUCAAAAAAAACCUCAGUGGUUCCAUUUGGAUGGAAACAGAUCCCUUCCCCCGCAAAUCCUAUUCCCAGGAUACAAGAUCAAGUUUCUGAUGCACCUUGAGGAGGCCCAAGGGUGAGAGGAACCAUUUGUAGAAACCUGCGUGAGUGACCUGCUCCUGAAUUAGGUGUUCGUUCUGGGGAAAAUUUGUCCUGCAAGUGUCACUUAGGAUGUGGCCCAAAAUGUAUCCCUAACUUUCCUUGAUCUAAUCUAGAGCACUAUACUUCUGACUGUUUUGGGUGAGGGGAAAAAUCAGCAUUGCAUUUUUGCUGUUAACGUUUGAACGGGUCAUUGUUGCCGAUACCUUGAUCAAUGCAGUAGUGGAACGAGGUCCUGACUGAGGACCUUGCUCCACUGGCGCAUCUCACAAAGCUAGCUCUGGUCUUGUUUUGGGGGGCUUUGCAUGAUGGAUGAAUCUAGCCAUUGCGAUUUCUAAACCACGGGUUAUGGUUUACUACUGAUGCUACGAAUCAGGCAACUGUGUCUUUCUCAACAAACCAUGUUUAAAAAAUAGCUCAACGUAAUGCGUGAACUGAACAAAACUCUCUAGUAUCUUUCACGAUGCUCUUUGUAUGAGCGCUGAGGUGUACAAAACUGUGUUGAUAAGAGCAGGUCACGUUCCAUGGUAUAAUCUGUAAAGAAAUGUCCUCAGUUGUUGCUCCUGCUGGGUUCUCCUGUGGAAGCAGUUUUCUCGCUGCUUGCUCUCUGGCUGGUAUGACUUCAAGAGGAGAAAACACUACCCUUUGAAACUAAUGAAUAGUCCAAGAGCAUAAAUAUUCUCUGGACUCAGUAUGACUUUCAUGGUGAGUUGGUUGAGCAGAAAUUAGAGAGAAUUUCAGGCUGGAGCUGGUGAAAAAAAUUGUGCUCAUAGCUAUGGUGGCUACUCCCUUUCUUAGUAGUAUGGUCUGCUGUGACUAUUCAGACAUGCCAACUAGCACCUUGAAUCAUCAAGAAAAGCAAACCUUGCCUUCUGGUAGAGUUGUGGUAUAUUCCUGCAGACUUCUUAGAUACAAAGAAGUUGGUGGCCUUUAAAGUCAUAAUCCAUCAGGACAUGUAACCUUAAAAUCAUACAAACAUUGAAUUCGAAGGGGUCACUGAGGCCAUCAAGUCCAACCUCCUACUUGGUGCAGGAAUCCUAGUAAAAACAUCCCACUGGCUGCUCUGCUUUGGAACGCACCCAGUGAAAGAAUAUCACACACACACCCCACAACUGCACGUGUGGAAUCUGCGUGAGCUUGUUGGAGAACGAGGAGAGGGGGUGAUCGUAAUAAAAAGUGAAGUAACUUGGGUGAGUGGAUUGUGUAUGUUGGGAGUGGUGAAAAGUGUAGUAAAUACAAAUGAAUAGCGAUCCAAGCUCAUAUUUUGCCUUUGCCUUUCAUUGAGGUUUUUGGGCAAAUUGUUUUUAUUCCCACUCAUUGGCUUUUCUGAGAAAUUGGUGCCUGUGUCCUACUAUACCCACCACAGAGAACAUUUUACAAUUGAAAAUGUAUUCUGGUACUUCAAAAUCCCAAAUGUGCCAUAAGCUAAAAAGGUUGGUAACUCCCUGUUCGUUUGUUUGUUUGUUUGUUUUUCUAUCCCGCCUUUAUUAUUUUCAUAAAUAACUCAAGGUGGUGAACAUACCUAAUACUCCUUCCUCCUCCUAUUUCUUUACUAAAGCUAGAGAAAAGAGGUGGAUUGAAAUUAUUUGUUAGUAUGACAUAAAUUUGUCAUCUUGCACUAUCUGAAAAGAGCUUUCUUGCCACCUUGCUAAGGAAUGAGGGCUACCUGAUUUUGAAGGCUGUUGAAACCUAGACUUAAGAGCCUGACUAUAAAAUGUGAUGUGCAAUAAAACUGCUUUUGAACUUGCAGUUGUCUUUAUUUUAAGUCUGCGUCUUGACAUAAAUGAACAAUCUAUAUUACAGAAUAAAAGAAUGACAUAAUUUGUUGCUACGUAGUCAAAAUCCUUGGAAGAAGAAGAAUGUUUCCUUUAAAAAAGUAAUUGUAAAUUCAGGAGGGAGGGUUCCUUUAAUAUUUAAUCUAGACUCUUGUGGCAGGCAAAUUCAGCUGCAGACUAUGCAAAACUAUUUCCUUUGUGGUUUGUAAUCAAUAGAAUUUAUUAAAUGUUAUGCAAAGACCAAAUUAGUAGUUUUAUAUAUGCAAGCAAAGUAUUAAGAUCCAAAUCAGGCAUGCCAGGAACUAUUAAAUGUUGUCCAAACACUUUCAGGAUGCCAGUGCUGGUUUGUUAGUUUGGAUUAAGGUCAGCCAAAAAUGUGUUUGGAUUGUUAGGGAGGAAUAUGAGGAAGCUGACUGUGGCCUUUAGACAUUUGGUGGCAAAAUAGACAAUUUAGCACCCCAACGGUUUAAUGGUGCUCACCUUUGCAUGUGGUGGUGGACUCUGGUUGAGUUUGGGCCAGACGCUGAACAUUGGC
Candoia aspera is the source of this 2658-nucleotide long non-coding RNA. RefSeq lists it as uncharacterized. The transcript has 2 exons. Lineage: Eukaryota; Metazoa; Chordata; Lepidosauria; Squamata; Candoiidae. The record is from RefSeq and is a predicted model, not a curated record.